GACGAACGCUGGCGGCGUGCUUAACACAUGCAAGUCGAACGCUGAAGCCCACUUCGGUGGGUGGAUGAGUGGCGAACGGGUGAGUAACACGUGGACAAUCUGCCCUGCACUUCGGGAUAAGCCUUGGAAACGAGGUCUAAUACCGGAUAGGACACUGCAUCGCAUGGUGUGGUGUGGAAAGCGUUUAAUGCGGUGUGGGAUGAGUCCGCGGCCUAUCAGCUUGUUGGUGGGGUGAUGGCCUACCAAGGCGACGACGGGUAGCCGGCCUGAGAGGGUGACCGGCCACACUGGGACUGAGACACGGCCCAGACUCCUACGGAGGCAGCAGUGGGGAAUCUUGCGCAAUGGGCGGAAGCCUGACGCAGCAACGCCGCGUGGGGGAUGACGGCCUUCGGGUUGUAACCUCUUUCGGCAUCGCGAAGGCUCUCGUGUUCGGGAGUUGACGGUAGGUGCAGAAGAAGCACCGGCUAACUACGUGCCAGCAGCCGC
RNAcentral lists this ribosomal RNA (489 nucleotides) under uncultured bacterium. RNAcentral describes it as "bacterial SSU rRNA". It matches the Rfam family "Bacterial small subunit ribosomal RNA", at positions 28 to 518 of the family's 1533-position model. The record is from RNAcentral.